Rosa rugosa (rugosa rose) is the source of this 1415-nucleotide long non-coding RNA. RefSeq lists it as uncharacterized. The transcript is spliced from 6 exons. Lineage: Eukaryota; Viridiplantae; Streptophyta; Magnoliopsida; Rosales; Rosaceae. The record is from RefSeq and is a predicted model, not a curated record.
AAAGUCGCCGCCCUAGUUUUUGGGCCAAAAGUUAAAACUUUUCACACUCCCUCUCCCUCUCUUGUUGCUCUCAUCUGCCAUCUCUUCCUCGUUGAACGAACCAAAUUGUGGAGCUCAGAUUCAUUAGCUCUGAGCACAAAAAAUUCACUCACCACGGAUGGGGAUUUAAGAAGGAGUUGUUGGAGAAGGAGGUGAUGAAGGCUGCAGAGUCGCUGUCGUCUCGCACACUAACCCCACGAACCCAAGACACCCAUUUCUCCAGAACGCACUCAACUUCUUCUUCACCAAUCAUUCGCUGCUGCUUCAGUGCUCGCUGUCCCUUAAUGACACUCCGGCCUCUGUCGUCGAUUAUUCCAAGAGCAGUGUGUUGUUUCCGUCGGUCCUGGCCGGGACUCUGCGACUUCUGGGAAUUGGGUUGAGGAGAAAACGCGUGCUGGUGUUGUAGAACAUCGAUUUGUAUGCAUAUGGGGCUAUAUAUAGUGAUUAUGUAGUGAGUUUUACUUACUGUUUAGACGCAUUGACAACACCAUUGUUGUAGACUUUUAAGCUUAGAAAGAUGCCUCCCACCAAAGCUACAAGUACUAUGUGAAUGCUCGCCAAACUAAAUAUUGAGGUAGCAUCGUGAAAUGCUCGCUAUGAUAGAACCUCCAUUAUCAUAUAGAUGCAGGAUUUGGAAUGGCCAUGUUCUCUCGAGAUUUUUGGAUUACUUCAGCAAAUUUGAUUGGGAGAAAUAUUCUGUAAGUUUAAAUGGACCAGAGACAUAUAAUGCAGUUCGAGGGUAUGGACUGGGAGUAGAGUGGGUUGAUGUUCCUGGAAUACAAACUGCAAAGCCAGCAGUUGCUUGCGAUGUAGCAUCACUUCAGUCUGAACUUGAAGCCUCACUUGCUGAGAUCACGAGGUUGACAGAGGAAGCAGCCAAAAAGGAUGAGCAAUUGCAAGCUGUCCAAACUCAAUCAAUGCUAGCAUUGAAACUUGUAUUGGCAAUCCCUUGCAUAGUAUAAUAAGUGCUGGACCUGAUACCAUUAAGAAGCUAAUAGCAGCACUUUCUGAUAUCGCAGAGAAGCAACCUCAGUCGAUCCAAGAAAUGCAAUCAACUCCAAUGGAAGGGUAUGUGACUUUACUUGGACACUAGGAUGGAAAUUGUAGGAAGUUUGUUUUGAAGCAUAUUGCUGGUAUCUAUGAUUCAUCUCAAAGUUAGUAUAUUUUGGGUCAUUUUAUUGACAUAUUGGAGAUGAACUAUAUAUAUUUUGGGUAAUGGCUUCUGCCAUAUUAGAUAUAGCAAUACUAGCUUGGGUUAGAGCGGAGAUGAACUAAUCAUGUAAUUAUUAUGGUCUGGGAGAACAAUGACCACUUUUGUAUAUUGCUCUUGGAUGAAUGAAAUUUGUGUAGGAAAACUAAUAUUUGGAUUUAUGUUU